Long non-coding RNA from Lotus japonicus, 3116 nucleotides. RefSeq lists it as uncharacterized. The transcript has 8 exons. The record is from RefSeq and is a predicted model, not a curated record. NCBI's taxonomy places the organism in Eukaryota, Viridiplantae, Streptophyta, Magnoliopsida, Fabales, Fabaceae.
UAUGAAUUGAACCUAAAAGUCUUCAUGCAUUAUAUGUUAUUGACUAUACAUGUUGGGCAAAAGUUGAUUAAAUAUUUUGAUGAGACGGAUUUGUAGAUGUGCCAACUUCAUUAUAUGACAUUCAUUUGAACUUGAACAACAAAUGUCAACAACAUUUCUGGAACAUUUCGGAGCAACGAACCCGCGUUUGUGUUUUCCACUCCUCUGCCAUGCUUGACUUCUUUCUGCACCUCAGCCGCUGCCAUCUAAUGAGAAUCAAUUGCUUUGUUGACUUAUGCGCACUGAGGGUGGGUUCCAAAGACUUCCACCACAAGCUCCCACCCACGAAGGUUUUCGCGGUGAGACUGGAAAAGGUGGCGGUACUGUCUCUGAACAAGCUCAUGUUUGGGAUUCCGAUCCCCCCCCCCCCACUGACGAGGAGCUCAUCGAUUACUACCUCCGCUCGAAGAUCAACGGAAAUGGCGACGAUGUUUGGCUUAUCCUUCAAAUCAAUGUCUGCAAAUGGGAACCUUGGGAUUUGCCUGUUGUGAUUAGGGUAAGCUGCAACGACAAAUGCUAAAGCCGGAUCAGAUGCAGAUGUGGAUGUAGAAGUGUCAAAAUCAGCUAUGCUAGGAGAAUUCAAACAGAGAAAGAAAGAUCUGGAUGUUGAGGAAGAAUCAGUGGGUGACUGGGUGUUAGAAGGACACAAAGUGGCAUGGGCUCCAAGAGAAACCGCUCAGCUUUAGUGCAUAAUUAAUCUGAAAGGAAACGAAGGGACAUAUCAACGAGAGGAUGCUUUCACCACAAGAACUCAUAUCCAAUUGCAAUAAGGUGGAAAGGAAACCUUAGGAGAGAACAUCGAAGGAACCCAAGAAGUGAGAAGCGAACAAAGCUGAAGCUAAGAAAGUGGAAAAUCUUAAGGAGGAGAAAACACCUAAAGAGAAGGAAAAGCUCAGGGUCUGACGAGAAGAAAAAAGAGGUUCAUUUUCAUUUCAAUUAUUUAACCUUACUUUGAAGCGAGUUUCUGUUUGAUUGCUGGAGCCUCCUUAUUUUUAUUCUCUUGAAUGGUCUAAGUGUUGCUUAUAACUAUUUAUAAGAAUCGUGCAAUUUCCUGAAGCUACAAUCUCCACUAGAUUUACUGUCAUUGGUUCUCAAGCCAGUCCAUUGCUUUUCCUUCAUUACUGAGAAACGGGUUUUGUACUUUUUCUUUAUAUUAAUCAGCAUUAAUAUUCAUUUUUCUCAUAUUCUUACACUAAUCUAGAUGGAAAAUCACUUUAACUGUGUCUACUCAAGAACUGUAAUUAAACUGAACUGCUCUUACUGUUGUUCAUCAUCCUGUCUUGCCUUAUAUUAGAGAAGACGACUUGGCUAAGGACCUAAAAUUUCUGUUCUUUGAUGAAGAAAAGUUUAUUACUCAAAAUCAUAGGAGUGAAGUAAAUUAUUUGAUUCUGUCCAUGCAUUAUUUUGCUGUCAUUUUUUGAAUCAGGCAUUAGCUAUCCAAUAGACAUGUUCUGUUGUCUGUUGUGGACUUGUGGCACGUUCAUGACAUGAAAAGGAAACAUCAACCUAACUAUAUCUUAACUUGAGAGUUAAAAGACAAAGAAAAUAAUGUUUCUUUUCUUUUUAUGAUCAUGUCUGACUAAUGAGUACUGCAUUAAGUAAUCAAACUUUAGCUUGCUUCCUUUCAACAGAUUAAUAAUGCCAGAUUUGAAAGGAAGCAAUUUUUGUAAUAGCUUGACAAUCAAGUAAUGAUGUAAUGUAAGACAUUUGGAUUUUUACCUCUGCCAUUUGAUCACAUACCAUUUUAUUCCUUUUGCUAACGUUUGGUAAAACCUGUAAAGAAAUUGUGUGUGUGUGUGUCAGAGAUAGAGAGAGAAAGAGAACUGGGUCACGGUCGAGUUUCCACAGGCUGAAUUUGGGCAUGCUCCUCAGGGUCCAAUGUUCUCUUGAUAUGGGUUUUGAUGGUCAAGCUAAAAGUGGAUGAUGCAGUUGCAUUGUGAGUGAAUCCAUAUCCCAGAUGGAUGAGAUUAAUUUUCUCUUUUAUCAGAUGAGCCCUAUGAUUCAUCAGGUGCUGUUUCUUUAUCACACAUGGGAUUCUACAUGGUGAAAGCUGCACAAGAAGAGAAUUUUAAACAAAUGAAGCAGUCAAAAUCUAGAUUAACCAUUUCUGCUCAUCUUCAAUGUUUAAAGUUUCAAUGUUAUUGGUGUUUUAUUUUCUCUCUGAAAUAGCAUUCACCAUUGCAGAAGAUUCAUAUGCCUUGCUCCUUUAUGCUAUUGAGUAUCUAUUUCUGCUUAUAUUAAGUAUCUAUUUAUGGUUUCCAAUUAAUAUGAAGUUGUAUGUCUGUUGUAUUUAUAAUAUACCCUCUUUGAACAAUGCCUUGCAAAUCCAGUUGGGAGAAAAAUGCAAGAUUGACUGUUAGUGAUUAUGAGUACAUUGAUGUCAACUUUUCAGGAAAACGCUACAUCAUUGUAUGUUCCCUUGCUGCUGAGUUUGUUUAUCACUGUCAUAUUGUUUCCCGGGAUUACUACCAAAGUGAUGGAGUAAUUAUUUUAAUAAUCUAAUCAAGAAUGCUUAGAAAAGGUCAAUGUGGACGCUGGGUGGACACUGGACAGGGGAGACCGCCACGGGUUUUGGCAUUGUUGCUCGAGGGGAUGGUGGAUUAUUUAUGAUGGCAGCGUCAUGGUUGGAGAAUCUGCGCCAGCCACCUAUCCUUGCUGAGGCUUUAGCCUUACGAUGGUGCUUGUCCACAAUGCUAGAGAUGGAGAUGGACAUGGACAACGUUAUAGUGGAAUCAGAUGCUAUAGUCAUAGUCAAUGCCAUGUAUGGAACCUCUUGCCCACCGGAAGUCCAGUCUGCUUAUGGGAUUGUAAGAUCUUGGCUGCUCGAUAUACAGGGUUUUAUUCAGCCAUAAGAAGAUAUGAAGUAGACUUCUUGGACCAGUUGUGCUGCCCAUGUCAGCAGAAAUUCACAUUUUUAGAUCUGCCCUCUCAGAUCCUUCCACCGAUGAGAACACACUUGCUGAAGAUAUUACUGUUUUUUAUUUUAUUUUAUUUAUUUUUUCAGUAAGGUAAAUAAUCACAUGUAAUUUUACUCAUUGUUUGAAUGGGAACAAGGUCAUCGAACUUUCUUAUCUUCC